Molecule: non-coding RNA, 73 nt
Organism: Potamilus streckersoni
Lineage: Eukaryota; Metazoa; Mollusca; Bivalvia; Unionida; Unionidae
Source: the annotation of a GenBank genome assembly
GUUCCGAUGGUCUAGUGGUUAGAUAGUCCGCCUCGGAUGCGGGAGGUCGUUGGUUCCAUCCCCGGCCAAGACA